Molecule: ribosomal RNA, 442 nt
Filed under: uncultured bacterium
Lineage: Bacteria
Description: partial 16S ribosomal RNA
Rfam family: Bacterial small subunit ribosomal RNA
Source: RNAcentral
CCUACGGGCGGCAGCAGUAGGGAAUCUUUCACAAUGGGCGAAAGCCUGAUGGAGCCACGCCGCGUGCAGGAUGAAGGCCUUCUGGUUGGAAACUCCUUUUAUAAGCGGGACAUAGGCUGGUAACUUAUGACUAAUGAUCGGCUCCCUACGUCCAAGCAUCCGCGGUCCUACGUAGGAUCCGAGCAUUAUCCGGAGUGACUGGGUGUAAAGAGUUGCGUAGGUGGCAUAAUAAGUAGCUAGUGAAAUCUGGUGGCUCAACCAUUCAGACUAUUAGCUAAACUGUUAAGCUCGAGACCGUUAGGGGUAACUGGAAUUUCUAGUGUAGGAGUGAAAUCCGUAGAUAUUAGAAAGAACACCAAUAGCGUAGGCAGGUUACUGGGACGGGUCUGACACUAAGGCACGAAAGCGUAGGGAGCAAACGGGAUUAGAUACCCCAGUAGUC